RNAcentral lists this small nucleolar RNA (131 nucleotides) under Microcebus murinus (gray mouse lemur). Its description in RNAcentral is "Small nucleolar RNA SNORA11 (ENSMICG00000036026.2)". It matches the Rfam family "Small nucleolar RNA SNORA11". From Rfam's summary of the family: U107 (SNORA11) is a member of the H/ACA class of snoRNAs that guide the sites of modification of uridines to pseudouridines. This snoRNA was identified by RT-PCR from blood cells and its expression confirmed by Northern blot analysis. There is no predicted target for this guide snRNA. Lineage: Eukaryota; Metazoa; Chordata; Mammalia; Primates; Cheirogaleidae. The record is from Rfam by way of RNAcentral.
GGGGUGUGCUCAGAGCUAGGGGGCCUGAAGAAUGGCUCUUCUGUUUACAAUACGCCCAACAGGAAUCUCGGGGACACUGUGAUAAGGGACACAAAAACCAGUGGCCUCCCUAUGAACAAAUGCCUACAUGU